GUGGAAACGAAAGUAUACCCCACAGGGUGGGAGUAGGCGCCAGCGGCUCCAGAGCACUGGUUAUAGAACGUUCUGGGGUUUAAAUACCCUUUAGAGGUUUCCCAGUAGUUAGUUGGUUUACACCCUAUGUAAAUAAAGGAGUGGCCCACAACCAGUCUAAUGGGUUGUGGAAGGUGACGAGUCAGACUGAAGUGAAGUUACCAAGUAAUACCCUAUGCAGAUGUCUGAUUGGUUGUAGGAAGGGGACCAAUCAGAGGUACUUGCCAUUUCUCAUCUGCGAUGCAGAAAGGGGUGCGGGUUGCAAAGGGAGUAGCCUCUGUUUUUUUGUUACUUAAGCAUGGGAAGUUGGAGUUUUCCUUUUGAUUCAUUUCUAGGAAGUCGGUGCAAACUGGCCCUGCCUCCAGACCCUAUUCUCCAGCAUGAAUUGCAUCUCAUCAAUGUCAUUUUCACUUUUGAUGAUGAAGGCUGAUUACCUUGUAGAGAGAGAAGUCAUAGGGAUGUUAUGUCCAUGGAGCGUGGCCUUAAGUGGACCUAUUUCUUGGGGUCUCCAGAUCUGUUUGGAACUUCAAAAUUAUUCAAGAAAAGGUGUCUCAUCAGCAGAAGACUGAACAGUUUUACCUAAUGGUAUCUUGAGUAGAAAUGUAACCUAGAAGAGUUUAUUGAAAAUCCUCCUGGCUGAUGCUUAUUUCUUGGAAUCCUGAGUCUUACACUUGCUACCUAAUAAAAAGAAGGAAGAUUCUUCUCAGCAAGGUGAGAAAACAGGCUGAGAGAAGUUGGAAGAAACACAGGAGCAGGGAUCCCACAUUAGACAGUCUGAUUCCAGAGAUCAGGACCUUGGCUGCAACACUAUAUGGGCUCUGGGAAAUCCAAGGAAAAGUUCAAAGAAGUGAAAUGUGAUAAAGUUCUUCAUUAUCUCCUUAUUUGUAUGAAGAAAACUUCUCAGGUGCAGUGGCUCAUGCCUGUAAUCCCAGCACUUUGGGAGGCCAAGGCAGACAGAUCACCUGAGGUAAGGAGUUCAAGACCAGCCUGGCCAACAUGGUGAAACCUCGUCUCUACUGAAAAUACAAAAAUUAGCCGGGCAUGAUGGUGCAAGCCUGUAAUCCCAGCUACUUGGGAGACUGAGGCAGGAGAAUCGCUUGAACCUGGGAGAUGGAGGGUGCAGUGAGCCAAGAUGGUGCCAUUGCACUCCAGCCUGGGUGACAGAGCGAGACUCCCAUCUCCAAAAAAAAAGAAAGAAAGAAAAUUUCUCAGUGUUUCCAUUUAUAAAACUAAAAAAUAGAAAUAAAAUUGAUGUUGGCCUCUAUCUUAUUCUAGAAAUAAGUCACACAACACAUGAAACUACUUAAAAAACAAAACAAAAAUUCUGCUCCAUUUAUUUGAUGAGAAGCCACAAAUCCUUAAAAUGUUUUCUCUUUGUGUCAAUUACAUUAUUUAUAAAAUUAUGUUAUAUGUUUAGGUUGUUUUGAUCAAUUGAAUGCCUAUAAGAAGUAAAAUAAUAAGUGUAUCUGAAAGAAAUUUUUAACCUUUAGAGCAGCUCUGUUCAAUAGAAUGUCCUGCAUCAAUACUAACGUUUUCUAUCUGUAUCCACGCAUCAACUACUGACUAGCCACUGUGGCUAUCGGGCUCUUGUGACUAAUAUGGGGAAACUAAGUUUUUAACUUUUUCAUUUUUGUUCAUUUAGAUUUAGAUAGCAACAGGUGCUAGUGGCUACCAUAUUGGGAUAGUGCAGAUUUACAGCCUUAUGAAUACAGAGAAUAAAGCAAAUUUCCAGUUCAUAUGCAUAUUUUUCUUGUAUGUAUACAAAAAAUGUAUGAUAGGGGAAUAAGUAAAAGGUUUAAAGACUACUAUAUUUUUACAUAAAUACCUUAUAUACAUUUAGAUUAAAUCUUGUGUGGUAAUAGGUUGAAAAUCUAGAUUCAAGGGGGAAAAAGAUUUAAAUUUUCCAAAUGUCAGAGUACAUCAUGCUCAUCUAGUAUAUUUUCUAACUGGAUCAUGUGAAUAUUAAAUCUUUAUAGUAUUUAGAUUCUUUGGACACAGUUAAAAGAAUAAUGUAGCAGGCUUUUUUUAAUGUCAAUAUUUAUAAUGUAUAAGGAUUAUAUCCUUAAUGUUCACAUUUCAGUGAUUCCAAGGGACAUAUUUUUCAUUUUAACAUCUGUUAAAUUGGGGUGUAUCUUAUAAAAAUGGUAAGCAUUUAUUUUUUCUUAUCUGUUCAUAAUACUGUGAAAGAAAUAUAUCUUGCAAUCAAUGGACUAUUAGAUUCUAUGGGCUAUGACAUUUAAACUUAAGAUAAAAAUUUUAGAUAUCGACUUGAAAAUGUGUAGGGGUACAUAGUUCCUAAAAAUUCUGCAACUAUGUGAGCAAAAACAUUUGUAGACCAAGGAUGUAGAUCACUUCCUGCUGAAGUUCAGUGUUUUCAUCACAGCUUCUUUGCCUGCACAGAAGAGAGAGUUGCCUAAGCCGGUCGGGAAGGGGUUGGGAAUUGGAGCGUCAUCAUGUAAGAAUGUGGGCAUCUCAAGAGUGUAAGUGCAGAGUGCUCAGCACAGCCUGGUCUCAGGAACUGGAAAAUUCAUCUUCCCAGGACCUCUCAUCAUUUCUUACGGGCCAUAAACUUUCUCCUCUCUGGUUUUCUCUUAUAUCUGUCCCCACUUUCCUGAUUCUCUUAGCAGAAAGCUUUCUCCAUUCAUCCAUCAAGGACCAGAUAAUAGCCUCAGACCUGAGUCUAUGCAACCUUCCAGCUCCACAGCCCACAGCUGGCUGCUCUCAAUUACUCGCUGUUCCCAAACCAAAGAGAGGGUUCUGAUUUUUCCAGCUCAGAUGAGACGUCCACUCCUGAUCUAAACAGUUGGGGCUUGGAUGGAUACACCAUUUAUGUAAUGCAAACAUCGCUGGGGGAGGCGAUUAGUGGGUGGAAGCAGUUCCUGAAGAUGAGAGCUGUGAGUAGGAAGGCAGCCACAAACAUAGCAACGAGGGGCAGCAGUUUCAAUAGCUGACAUCAACAUUGUUCCUACGAUUGCUAGGCACCAUGCUAAUGGCUUCAAAUAGAUUAACUCGUUUAAUCCUCAACACAAACCUAGGAAUGAGGUUUAAUAUCCACAUAUUAGAGAGGAGGAAACUGAGGCACAGAAUGUUUAACUAAUUGCCCAAGGUCAAACAUUUGAUAAGUGUCAGAGCCUGGCUCUGUCAACCUGUCAAGCUAAACUGCCUCAGCAAUUUCCUCUCUUUGUCUAGAGACUUGCUUAUGACAACAGCACUAAGUAUAGAGUAUUCUGUAUCAGUAAAUAGUGCCUAAUAGGGAAAAAUGGUAGCAACCAAAAUUUAUCAUAUGACUAAAAGCCAUAGGAUAUUUUGGAAAUUAGCAGGCAAGGAGAGAGGAACUAUAGCAUUUUUAAUACCUACUUCACUCCUGGCACUUUAUAUGUAUUACAUUUUAUACACACUAUAGUAGAAGUAAGUAUUAAAACCUCAUUUUACUAUUGAAGGAACUGAAGGUCAGAGGAUUGAGUAACUUACCCAUGGUCCCACAGCUAAGAAGCAACAGAGUCAGAGUCCUGACUCAGGGCUGACACCCAGGCCUGCAGAUUUUCCUGUACAUCCCUCUGUCAGAUUAGUGUCAAGUCAAAUAAGGUGACAUGCAAGACAGAGAAUAAUUCAGUCAAUCAUGAAACAAACCAAAAUGAGAGUCAACUUCCUCAAAGCAAAGUCAUUUUUUAAAUUCACUUACAGAUGUGUGCUUGAUUAGUCUGAUUAAAUAUAUAUACUCUCUAUAUCUUUUUGCCUCUACAAGCAUCAAUCUAGCUGUUCCUUAAUUCUGUUACACGUAUUGAAGUUUCUACUGAAACAAGGAAGAGGUUUGUCCAAUUCUUUCCCUAAGACAUGACUGCUGGAUAAAGUUUAUUUUUGCUCUGCCCUUCCUCGUAGCUGGCUCUUUGCCUGUUGAUUUAAAAUGAAUUUUCAGGGGCUCAUAGAACAAGAAGAAUUUUAACUCUUAAAAAUUAACCACAAAGACAGGAACAGAUCUUUUUAAAAUACCUUGUUUAAUAUUGGUACACUGUGAGGGGUUAACAAAUGAGAAGUAGGGUCCUAUUAGUCUCUUAUCAUACUAAGAAACCAUCUUGCCAUACUUAGCUUGGUAGUCAUUGCAGAUAGAAUGUGCCAUCUGUGAAUGGAAUAAGCACAAACCAUUUGAACUACAGGGUACUCCAAAAGCCUUUUUUGAGUUCACUUACAUGUUGUAUUUUUUAUUUGUUCAAUCUUGCAUUCACUCAGCUCAUAAUACACCUGCUCAGCUGUAACUGAGAUGGAGAUAUCUCACCAAUAAAGGCAAGACAGGAAUUCAGAGCACUGGGUUUAAAUGUAAAAUCAAAAAGUAGUGGGGCCCACAUGCGUGAAUGAGCCAGAGGAGAGGUGGCACCUGGCCAGCUGGACUCCCAGUGCAACUGCCUCAGUGGGGAAGCAGCGUGUGCGUGACAGAGUAUACCACGUGCCAGAUGCUAUGCAAGUCUUCACCUGUGUCAUCUCAUUGAGUGUCCCCUUCACAGCAACCCUUUGAGGGAGGACUUCAUAAGCCAUGUGUUCCAGAUGAGGAAACUAAAGCUAAGAGAAGGUAACUAAACUGAUUAAACUGAGGGGUUACACAGCUAGCAAGUUGACUUGGCUAUAAGUCAAAAUCAGUCCUGAAUAACUCCAAAAACCACAUUCCUCCUACUUCACCAUGAGACCUUCCACUGAUACAACCCUCAGGGGCUCGUCAGAGGAAUAAGCAACUAAGAAUUAUUCAUCAAAACUUCCUAGAAGAAUCCCUGCUUAUAGUGUGUUAAAUUGUAUUUCAUUAGCAGAGCUGCAUCUCAUUCCUGGCCUCCCUGCUUCUAUGCCCACACAUCAUUGUGUUUACUCUCUUACUAAGACCCGAUUUCCCAUACAAUAAUAUUCUAGGGCUUACCCUGCAUAGGGGAGGAAAGACAUUGAGGGGACUUGAGACUCACUGAAAGAACUAGGUUUUGUAGGAGAUCAAGAAGGGGCAAGUCAAAGUAAUAGAAGAAAAAUUAACCUGAGAAAGGGGGAGGGAACUUUUUCUUCUGAGAUAUGAAGGAAACAUGAGAAAACAAAUUUAAAGCCAGACUCUGGGAGGUAGAGUGUUCUUAGAAAGGAAUCUCAUAUAAGAGAUAUUAUGUAUGAAAAAACCUUUCAAAAAGAUGCUACACAGACAUAGGAUCUUUGGGCAUCUGCCAAGAGUCAUAAAAGAAAAUCCGGCUCAAGAGAUGAAAGUAAUAUUCUGUAAUAAUGAGAAUACUCACCAUGCUGGGCUCCUGUGCUGUGGAAACACUCAUUCCAAAGUAAUGUUCAUGUGUGGGACACUGAGAUACACCACCCAGACCUCCCUGAAAUAAGAGCUUGUUGUCCCAGCUGCUGGAAGUCUGUCAACAGACAGCCUUCAGCUGCCAUCCCUUCAGGCAAGCUGCCUUGCUCAUGAUCAAGCCCCUCCUGGGCAGCCCAUAUCUAGUGACUAAUAGCUUUGGAGUAAGAAGACCUUGCCAUCUGGCUCAACUCUAGCAAGACCAUUCUAGCUCAAGAGCUCUCAUGAGCUCAGCCAGGCCGUCACUGGGCCUGCACCACAUUUCAACUUCUUCCUCUACCCAGUUCUGCCUUAGUCUCUUCCUGUGGAAUGCAUAGAUCCCAAGGACCCUCCUUAUAAAUAUCCUGCACACUAGAUUCUAUCUCAGAGCCUGCUUCUGCAGCAGCCCAACCUGCAGUAGUACUUUUUAUGAGCAAGGGGCCAAGAGCAAAACAGAAAACUGGUAUCCCCCUAAGUCCAUUCAGACUAUCAUAAGACAGCACAAAAUUGCUCCUUCUCGGGCUUGGGUAACUGUUUAAGCAGGUCUCUGCUAGCUGAGUUAUUACCAAAUCAGCCUGUCAUACUGCAAUAUUCUUCUUUGCAAAGAACUCACAUGAUUUAUUCUUAUUUGUAAAACUUUGUGAGAUUAGGCUGUUUCGUCUUUACACAUAUUCACUUAACAAGAUUUAGUAAACACCUACCCAGGCACUGCACUAAGAACUGAGGGAGUGGAAAUGAAAAAAAGUCCCAGCCAUUACCAGGCUCCCAGAUGAGUAGAGGGCACAAACUCCAAAACACAUGAGACAUACAGUGGAAGCCUGAACACAAUCUUUUGUGAGUCCACAUGAUGGCAUAAUUUGGAGUUUCAGGAUGGCAGAAGAGGAGGCCAGAAUACACAAGCUAUUGCCUUCAUUGCAGGCAUUUGACCAUAGUAAUGAGCAAUACAGACUCUGGAGUGAGACUAUGUGAGUUUGACUCCUGCCUUCAUCAUCUUCUAGUUCUCCCUAGGUAAGCUAUGACAUAGCCUCCCUGGGUCUCGAUUUGCUCCUCUAUGAGGUAGCACUCAUAUUAAUGUAAACCAAAAGUACCUGAGACAGGUCUGAAUCAGUUUAGAAAGUUGAUUUUUGCCAAGGUUAAGGACACACUCAUGACACAUCCUCAGGAGAUCCUGACAUGUGCCCAAGGUGGUGGGGUACAGCUCAGCUUUAUACAUUUUAAGGAGAUAUGAGACAUCAAUCCAUACAUGUAAGAUGUACAUUGGUUCAGUCCAGAAAGGCAGCAUGACUUGAAGUGGGAGCUUCCAGGUCAUAGGUAGAUUAGAUUUUCCAAUUGGCAAUUGGUUGAAAGAGUUAUUAUCAAUAGAAAGGAAUGUCUGGGUACAAUAAGAGGUCAUAGAGACCAGGGUUUUGUCAUACAGAUGAAGCCUCCAGGUAGCAGACUUCAGAGAGAAUAAAUUGUAAAUGUUUCUUAUCAAACUUAGAGUCCGUUCUACCAGUAAUUCCAAAAGGGAGGAGGGUAUAAUGAGGCAUGUCCAGCUCCCCCUUCCCAUCAUAGCCUGAACUUGUUCUUCAGGUUAAUUUUGGAAUGUCCUUGGCCAGGAGGAAGGGUUCAUUCAGAUGGUUGAGGGGCCUUAGAAUUUUAAUUUUGGUUUACAUUAGUCAGCUUGGGCUACCACAACAAUAUACCAUAGACUGAGUGCCUUAAACAGUGAAUAAUUAUAUCUCACUGUUCUGGAGACUGGGAAGUCCAAAAUCAAGGUGAUAGCCAACUUGGUUCCCCGGUGAGAAAUUCUUCUGACUUUCAGAAAUUCUUCUGCCUUUUCCCUGUGUCCUCACAUGGCAGUGACAGGAGAGGGAAGCAAGUUGUCUGGAGCCGCUUCUUAGGGGGGCCCUAAUCCCAUUAUGAGGACCCCACCCUCAUGGCUUUAUCUAAACCCAGUUGCCUCCCCAAAGGCCCAUCCACAAAUACCACUACACUGGGGGUUAAGGCAUCAACAUAUGAUUUCUGCAGGGGUGGGGAGGCACAAUUCAGUCCAUAGCAGCAGGACAAAUAGUGUUUUCCUCACAAGAUUGUUGGGUCUUAAAUGAGCCAGUAUAUAUAGAGUGCCUAGAACAGUGGCUGCCACAUAUUAAAUGCAUUAUUUGUAAGUGCUAGCUGUUAUUAUUAAAGCCACAUAAGCUGAGUCAAAAACUGGGAAAGGUCAAGUGUGUCAAGGCCUCACUUGCUGGGAUGUAUUUCCUUGGGGUCAUAUUGCUUCUCAAUGGAAGGGAGAAAAAUGAGCUUAUUCUUGAGAAUUAAGAAUGGGCCUAUUUUCAUGCAAAUAUUGGCUUGGAGAGCCCCUUUGCAAUCAAUUAUUACUAAGGUGAAAAUCCUGAACCUCUCUACUCUCUGUGCUUUCAUACCUUCCCGCUGCAUUCUCAUCUUUCACUUGUGAUCAAAUGCCUAACAAUCUCAGAAACAUGUCCACUUAGGGGAUUACUCUUGUUAAAGAGUAUUUAGCUUUUAAUCCCACAAGGCACAAGCAGUUUGAAAUAUAAGACAUCAUAGAAAAAGAAGUAUUUAGCAGGGUUAAUCUUGGAGGUGAGAGGUGAAAAGGGGCGAAAUGGAAUCCAAAGGAAACCCAUCUCAAUGAAAAUAUGAGUUUUAAGAGGGGCAAGCAAUGGUUAAUUUUUUCAGCCUAUCAGUAGCUCUAGAAUGGUGUACAAAAAUGUUUUACUCAGCUCCCAUACCUUCUUCAUAGAGAAUACAUUGAACUUCAGCUUAUUUUCUACUGGAGGCACGCUGCUGGAUUAAGUUCUGCAUUCAGGAGUUGUGGCAUUCAUGUCCUUGGUUAAGCAAACGGAGAUUUCAAAAUCCUUUAGGCUGGAAGAACUGGGUCCUUCAUCCCUUUUUUAAAUUCUUAAGUCUCAUUCCUUGCUUGUUUCAUUUAGGCUGCUGAAUUCAUUGGCAAUUGUUGACAACUUGACUGUUUUGAUUGUUUCCAUCUUAGACAUUUCCAUUGCUGUUAGACUAUAAAGUUGACAGCCCAAAUCCUAAAAUACCUGGUUGGCCCGUUCAAUCUAUUUCUUUCCUGCUUAGUCCUCCUUUAGAAGGAAUGAAGCAAGAUGUUGUAAUUAGAAUGGUGAUGAAAAAGUGUGAACAUACACUGUCAAUAGGGGAGUGGAAGGCACAGGUACUCUCAUGCAUUUUUUAAAAUAAGAGCUUUAUCGAGAUAGAAUUCACAUAUCAUAAAUUCAUCCGUUUAAAGUAUAAAAUUCAGUGGGGUUUAGCAUAUUUAUAGAUGUAGGAGCAUCACCACUAUCUGAAUUCAGAACAUUUUCGUCACACCGAAAUGAAAUCCUGCACCCAAUACCACUUACUCUUUAGCUCCUUCCUUCCCCCAACCCCUGGUGACCAUUAAUCGAUUUCUGUAUGGAUUUGCCUAUGCUAGAUAUUUCAUGAUAUAGGAAUCAUAUAUUCUGUGGUCUUUUGUGGCCUUCUUUCACUUAAUAUUCUCAAGGCCUCAUAUAUUCUUGAUAGAGUAUGAAUUGGCUCGAUAUUUGAAGGAAAAUAUGUCAAUAUCAAUCAGAACUUAAAGUACAUGUACUCAGAAAUUUUAUAUCCAGGAAUUAAUCUUUCAGAAAUACUUCCACAGACAUAAAAAUAGUUAUACAAAGACAUUUAGUGCAGCAUUGACAAAGACUGGAAAAACUCUAAAUUCCAUCAGUUAGAGAGGCCUGGUUGAACAGAUUGUGGUUCACCUCUGCAGUGGAGUGCUAUGCAUUCAUGCACAGAUUGAAUCAGUCCUGUAUGGAAUGGCGUGGAAUGAUCUCCAGAAUUUAUUGAUAAGUGAACAUGAGGGAACAAGACAAGGUACAGAGCAGUGUGUGAAGUUCUAUCUAUGUAAAAAUAUGUAUAUGUUAUGUUUACGUGUGUAUAUGUAUUUAUGUGUGUGUGUGUGUGAGUGUGUGUGCGUGUGGAGAGAGAGAGAGAAACGGAGCAAGAAGAAUAUCUAUCUCCGGUAGGAAGUCUAAAAAUGCACUAGCAGUGGUUAUCUUCAGGGAGGGAAAAUGGGGGUCUGGAGACAGGGAGCGGAAGAGAGGAAGGGUAUUGUUUGAAAUUUACUUACCAAGUACACAGAUUCUGAACAUUUUAAAUAGAGAUGUGUAUUAGGCAGCCACAUGGGCAUAUUAGGGUCUGGGGACCACGCAGGAAAACCCACAGCCUCUUUCCUGCAGGGUUUUGUGGUCAGUCACAGUGGAGACUGACACCCCUGUAAAGACAAGUUUCAGUGAAACAUAAAGAUCUGUAAUUUGAAGCUCAAAGAUUUCUGUUCUUAUCUUGCCAGAGGCCUGUUUUCACCUGCACAGCAUUUCUACCUGCCCAUGAAAGGCAGACUUACGCACUUUGAUGUCAAAGACCAACCAGAAAGGUAACUUUAGAGAUGCUCACCCGAACGCCCCCUGUGCACUGCCUCUCUUCAAUGAUCCUGACCUCAUCGUACCUUUUGGGAGUGGCUCUGAGUCUGUGUUUCCACCACUGACUCCUUUGAAGAAGAUCGUCAGCCUUGGGUCUGGAAUGUAGCCCAUUAAUGUUCCCCUUGACCUUUGGUGGAAACGCUGCCAUUUCCUGUCCUGGUUCCUCAUCUUCUCUCAUGUGCCUAAACACUGACCCCAAGUGGGAGAGAAGAUACAGUCAAGUUCUUCGCCUUGACACUGUUCUCUGCAAAGUCAAAGUCACUUUCAGUCUUGAUUUUAACCAGAGCUUAUUUCCUCCCACCAGUGUUGGGAUGAAAGUCAAAGAUGAAGUGAAAGACAGAUUGUGUAACUUUUAUUUUUAAAAGAGUGUUUAAUUUUGGAAGGUAUGAUUAAUAUUUCAAUACUGCUUCUAAUGGCUUCAUUUAUUUUUUUUUCAGCCAAUAAGAAGUGAGAAAUCCUGUCUCCGUAGCCAAAAUCUCAUAUAAUUCCUCCCCAGCAAUACAGAAGUCUCUCUGUUGCUACCUAGAGUAAAAAUGUCAAUACACAUCAUGUAUUAAAAUUCACCUGUAUUUUCUCAACACCUUUUCGAUAUCUUUCCAAAUUGCUUUAGUAAUCUCUGGCAUCAAGAACUGGUAAGAGUAUGUGGCAUUUUCCUUCCUGUUUGAGUAACACCUAUUAAGAGAGGUGGCAAUUAAAAUCAAAUUGUAAUUUUUAAACCUUAAGGGAAGCUAUUGCAGUAUUGCUAAGAACAUUCAGUUACCGGUAUGUUAGCUAACACCUACACCCGCUGCGAUUAGCGAUGAAACAAACUUCUACGGACCUUAAAAAACCAAACGUCUCCUUUAAAAUAAUCAUCCUAUGAGUAAACAGUCCUGUUCACACAUGUAUAUGAGAUGUCAUCCUUUCUUUGCCGUUACAGCGCUCCGCCUUGCCAAUGCUGCUGAGCACUGACUCACUCACAGGGCAUUUGGAAGGUGGGCGAUUUGUUCCUGCAGCAUCAUUGCACUCCAAAUGUGCUGAGAAUGGAUGUAGCCUCCAAUGCUGCCGUGCCAGCAGCAGCUUAGAUCAGAGGGAUCAGCAGAGGCUAUUGUCCAUUCCUCAGCAAUGCACUUGACCUUGAGAGCUAUAUAGAAUGGAAGGAAACCCACUAAAGCCAAAUUCAUGUCCUAAGAUUUAUAUCCUUUUUAGGGAUCCCACCCCUGGAACGUAAUUCAGGUCCAAAUCCUCUUCUUCUCCUUUCCAACUGCCACUGCCUUAGAGUAGUGGACUUAUCUCCACCUGCACAUUUUAGAGUCACUUGGGGCAAGGCAGGGGGCAGACGUUAAAACAUACCAGUGUCAAGGUACCAUCCCAGAGACUCUAAAUUAAUUAGUCUGUGUUGUGCCUGAAAUGAGUACUUUUUAAUACCUCCCUAGGUAUUUCUAAAGUACAGCUAGGACUGGAAACCACUGGAGUCCAGCACAAGCCUUUCUCAUUUCUUUCCUGGUUUAUGGCAAAUGCCUCCUGAAUGCCCUUCAUCUUUUGUGCCUGAGGCUAAUCACCUUUAAUGUGUUAUAAUGAUUGAAUUAUUUUUGUAUUAAUCCAUGUUUGAUGUAGAAAAAUGAGAAAAUAAAAAGCAGAAUGAAAAAAACUACAAUCAGAAAAAUGAUACAAUAUUUUGUCUUUCCUACUGGAUUUUUUAUGUACAUAAAAUAACUAUUUUCAAAAAUGAUAUCCUGCUAUAAUUCUCUGUAACCUUCUAUUCUUUGUUAACAAUAUAUUAUGGGUAAAUUUCCAUGUCAGUAAGUAUAGAUUCAUAUUAUUUUUAAUGGCUACAUAGCGUCUGAGUGGGUGGCAGUGCCUUUGUAUUUUUUAACCAAUCCUUUGUUUCAGGGUUAGGCAUCUACAUUGUUUUGUGGGUUUUUGUUGUUGUUUGUGUUGUUGUGUUUUUUUGUAUUUUGUUUAGCUAUUACAAACAACAUUGAAAUGAGCCAUUUGGAAAAAAAUUUUUUUGUGAGUUGGCCAACUUCCUUAGGAUAUAUUCCUAAAAGUAAAUUUGUUAAAUCAGUAUAUCUAUUAAUUUUUAAGAAUUCUGACAUUUGUUACAAAUUGGUCUUCUAAACCACUCAUAUACAGGUAGUACUUAAGAGUCUGUUCUUCUAGUCCUUCACUAACGCUGGCAUUACUGUAUUCUUUUUAAAUCUUUGUUUAAUCUGGUAAGUAAAGAAUGAUAGCUACCUAUUUUAAUUUGUUUAGAUUACUAGUGAGUUUGAACAUUUUUCAUCUGUUGUUUUUUGGGGGAAACUUUUGAAUAUCUCCUUUUGCAAAUAUCUUAUUUUUGUUCUAUAAGGCAUUUUCUUUUUCUUGUUUGUAUGUAUGAGUCAUUUCUAUAUCAAGGCUAUUGAAUAUCCCCCAAUUUGUCCUUUUUACUUUUUUUAAAACUUUUAUCCUUUUAACUUUAGUGGUUUUGUGGUUUACUUUUAAAUCUUUAUAUAUUCAAAUCUAUCCCUCUUUUCUGUGUGGUUUUAACUUUUCGAUGCCAUAUGUUGAAAGCUUUUCCCCAAGUUAAAAGUAUAUACUUACCUAUGUUUUUUUCUAGUACUUUUAUGGUUUUAUUUUUUAUGUAAUUAAAUCUUUGUGGCUAACUCUUAAAGUACAAAUAUGAUCAUGCCACUCCCUAAGACCUUUGCCGUCUCCCCAUUGUGUAUGUGAUACAGUUCAAGUGUCCUCAUGCCCCACACAUUAUCUGGUCACCCUUUAGCUUGCAUGUCCCUCUCAUCUUUGCUCAUAGAGCUCUUUUUUUCUCUGCAAUACUUUUUUCUCUGCAAUACACUAUGAGUCUUUUUCUCCAUGUAUAAAUAGGCUAUUACUUCAAGUUCCAUGAAAAUAGAGAACAUGACUGCUUUGAUAAUCUCAGCACCCAACAUAGUAUCUGGAAGAAAAUAUAUACUCAAUAUUUGUUAAAAGAAUGAAUAAAACAUUACCUCCCCUGGUAACCUACCUCCAAUGUCUCUGGGCAGAAUCUGUCCUUUUUCUAUUGCAUUCCUAAAACACAUCAUUCUGAUCACUGUUAUCAUAUGAUGUCAUCAUAUUGUAUUAUAAAUCAUUGAAUCUUUGCCUGUAAAUCAGGCUCAGCUCACAUUUUUAUCCCUUGCUCCUUAGCAAGGUUGGGGCAUGCAGUGGGUACUCAAUACAUGCUGUUGAACUCAGAUGAAUGAAUUCUGACGAGGUCUCCCUGUCUUGCAGUACUGCCUUGGCAUGUCCUUGUGUUAAGAAGUAAAGACCUUGACAGUCUGUAAAAAGACAACUAAAUAAUUAGGUGACAAUACAUGUGCCCAGGUAAAAUCUACAGUCAUUAAUAUGGGGUUAAAAUAGUGCACAAUAAAAAUAGUGUCUCAGAGUAAUAGUGAAGCCAUGAUAGUAAUGCCUUCUGGCACCUGCUUCUGGGGCUAUCCAUUAUGUCAUUAAGAAUCAGAGCAUCAAUCUGGCCCAGAGCCCUAUCCCUGAAUAAAUUAAAAUUUUUAAAAAGACCCUCCAGAAUUAGUAGAGAAUAAUAGUAAGCUAACCAACUAACUUUUCUCCAAGAAUGUUGUAGCUAAGCAUUACUACGCUUCCUUUCAACAGGCAGUGAGAAUUGAGUUACUCAUACUGUUCCCCUUGGCUGCCUUUAACUUAGGGGUUUGAUACAGAUUUUUUUCCUAACCUUCAACUUUUUUUCUCCUUUUAAAAUAUUUUUACAGCUUUAUGAUAUGUCUGCCUUUCAUUACAAGCCACCUCAAAUCCCUUUAGACAGUGGAGUUUCUAUUAUAAAUAAUAAUAAAAAAAUUUCCUCUGCCUCAAUUCCCUCUGUCCCAAGUGCUCAAUGCAUGAACAACAUAAACUGAGGCUUUAAGAAAUAGGAUUUCAGCCCUUUGAGAAAGCUGUAUUACAAAUUGGUUCCACUUCAUAGCUUGGAAGAAAAUUGGAGUUUUCUUUGGAUGACAUCAAUGAUCAUAAUCUCUGACAUUUAACUGACCUUGGGCAUGUCAUUUUACCACUUCAAGUUUCAGUUUUCUUAUCUGCAAAGCAACAAUGCGGGUGGGUUCCUUCCCACCCCAGAACUGUAUCUAAUCAUCUUUUCCAGGAAGAUAGGGACAAAAAGACCACCCAGGCAGCACAGGGAAAGGAAUCUCCCCUUCUAUCUGGCCCCGUAACCCUACCUUCUGUCAGUUACUCUGCUGCAGAUAAAGGGUAGGGGAGUCAAUUCCCAGCCACAUACCACCCCAGGGCUGCUCUGCCAUUCAUAGCAGCUCCCCACCAUAAAGAAGCUGGAUGAUGAGCUGACCAAGCGUCCUGACUGGACUGCUGUUUAUGGCAUUGUGCUUUCAUUUGUGUGCCCAAGAGGCGACUAGCAAUAGGUUAACUUGGUGCUCCUACAAAGGAAAGUCUUUUGCUUUUCUUUCUCAACUAUAUCUUAGGUUUUAAUUAAUUAAAUUAAUAUGGGGCUUAAUAGCAGACAUGUUUUGGACCUUGGAGCCUGUUUACCCUCAUCUUACCCAAGGGGCACUGUGGACCCAGGCUAAGACGCUGCCAAAGAGUUUUCUGUGUCUAGGAGACAAAGCACACCCUGUAGCCUUCAGGAGUGCUGGGUUAUCCCAAGCCCACCAAAGAGCCUGCAAAGAGUGUGCUAGCAGGACUGGGAACAUUCGUCUCCUAGCUUUCUCUAAGAAGCAGGCACACUCUCCUCUUCACACUGUGGCCUAGGUCUGAUCAAAGGCGGUAGAGAAGGUAGCUUUCCCUUCCACAUCUGACCAACAAAAGCAGCCCCGGUGGGGGGAGACUGGAAGUGAGUAUCGCAGUGGUUCCUCAGCUUACCUUAUACCUUCCAGAUAAGUCAGUGAUACAUGCCACAGGGCUGACUGUAUUUUGAGGCCCUCCCAUAGCUCCAGAAGCCAGCCCAUUCUAUCAGGCUGUACUCGGGACAAAGGAGGCAGCCCCAGCCCAGGUACUUAAGUAGACACAGCAUUUGGCCUCAAGGUUAAGAGUACAGUCAGUGGUCCUAAACUGCCUUUUUUGUAGCUUGGUUAUGGUAACUUGAGUGCAAUUGUUUAACCUCUCCCUAUCUCAGUUUCUUCAUCAGAGAAAGGGGGCUGCUGUGAUAGUUGGUACGUACGGAGUAUAUGGAACAGUGCCUGGUAGGGAAUAAGUCCCGUAAAAGUUAAUCAUUUUAUAUACAUCAAAUAAGUCUGUUCUACCUCUUUUGUCCCCCCAGACGAAGCUCAUAGAAUGAUUCACAUUGAUAUUCAUGUUUAAGCCUUAAGCCUUUUUUGUUCUUCUAAGACUUCCUUUGGUGGUGUACAUUUUGAUUGUAUCUGCUGGAAUAACAAUGCUGAUGGUUGGUGGGGUUGGGAGGAAGGAUAGAGAGGGAGGGAGAAAUAACAUUAACUGCCUAAGAGAUUUCUCUGAAAGAGCACAUGAAUAUUGAAUGAUGACUUGAUUUUACCAACAAAACCCAUAAUUAUUGCUUUGCAUCAAGGGUGAGGUUGACUUAAAUCAUCAAGACUUGAGAAUGAACUCAUAAUCAGAAAACGUGGACUAUUAAGUUUUGUUUGCUUGCUUGUUUUUGCAUAUAUCUAACCCAAAUCUUGUGUUAUUUCAAAUGGUGCUAUAUUUGCCUAUGCUUGUAAAUUGAAUAACAUCAAUAUGCAAAACUGAUGCAUUUUUCUUUUUAGGGAGAACAUAAUCUCCCAAAGCCACUCCAUUGGUGAUGUGACUUGAUUUUUUUCUGAAUCAAGAAAUUUGGAUAAACUUGGUGAUUCAGAAGGAUUGAUUACUACAGAUAACCCACUUAUGCUUAACUAGGUCUUGAACCAUGAAUGCAUGAACUUUAAUUUGCAAGCCUCUUUCUCCACAGCUAGCCAUGGUUAGAGAGAGAUGUUAUGGAGGAAGGACGAGUAAAACUCCAAGUUAUUAAGGAGGAAAAAGAGGCUGCUUAGUUGAUUAAUCAUUGUAGAAGCCUCCAUCACAUUCAGCCUGGGAGAUUUCAUUCAUUCACACAAACGCCUGCCACUUUCUACACCCAGGAGUUGUAUCAUCCACCAGGCACACUAGAAAUGUGGUUAGUGCUACCAAGGACCUAAUGUUUUAAUCUGGUUUAAUUUUAAUUAAUUUAAAUUCAAAUAGCACAUGUGGCUAGUGGCUACUGUAUUGCACAGUACAGGCAUAAGAACAUUUCUACUCAAAUCUUCAUGAUGAUACGAUGGGCUUUAACAAACCCUUGAUAAUAAAAGGCAAAAGCUGCAAAUGUUAUAGGUCAAUAUUCUCUCCACAAAUCUUUAUUUUUAAGUUUUAAAAAUAUAACCCAAAUGUUUGUGUUCCCUCAACCUCUUCUUCAAGGUCCUAAGAAACAUUGAGGAAAGAGAUAAUCGUAGGAUAGAAUUUUUCUUUUCUUUUCAAGUACCUACAAUUCUCAGAUGUUAGACUGACUUCUUCCAUAACUGACUUUUAAAUCAAAGUAUCCAAAAAUGAAUAUGCAAAUACAUUGUCAAUGAUUUCAAUUCAGGAAGAAGCUGCUCCAAGAUCUCAUUAUUCUGAAUGACAUGGAAGAAUCACGUACACAUUGCCCAUUUCCUAUCUCAUUAUUUUCUGGUGUAGAACUGCAAAUCCCAUUAGCAGAUUUUCCUUCAGCCCCCUGAACAAUCUGUGAGUGACUCACACUUUAGAACAUCUUUGCUGCUGGAUUACUUUGAAAGGCAGAAGUUGGGACGGUGUCAGGGAUAGGCUGAAGAUGAGAGGAAUACCUAACACGUGCCUUGUUUGCAAAUUUUCAUUUCAGUCAUUUAAAAAGUAAUUAAGGAAAGAGGAUCUUGAUAAGAUAGAAUUCAACUCCCCUCUUUUAAUGGAUUCAGGGAAUGAGGAAACAUAAAGAUAAUCCAUCAUCGCAUUACUGCCAUCACCAGAGUUGUCUGUUUCAAAGAGCCUCUUUCCUUCACCAGGAGGACACAGAGCUUCGUGUGCUCAUUUGGGUGUCAAGAAAUAAUAAAAUGAUAAAUCUGCAGACUUGGAAACAGCAGCUCUCAGAUCAGAGCUGAAAAUGUCUGCUCUGUGUUCUGUGGGUCUUUGCUUCUUGUGAGUCCAGACACCUGUCACAAAACUAUGUGGCUGUGGGUGGCCCUAUUUGUAGGAUUUCUAAGCCAUCUGACCCUAGAUAAACCUUGGUGCUUUUUAAGAGCCAGCUUAGGUGCUGGACCAAAUGGUGAAAAAUUGCUUCCUGACUAAUUGAUGAGCCAGGGUGCUUUGAUGUUACAAGUGUGGUUGGAGCCUAAUGCAGCCAUAUCAUGAGGAACACUGUGUCAUCAGCGGGAUGUGGAAAACCACUCCUCAACUGCUUACCAAGAGGCAAACCGUCAAUAAUGAGAUGGUUUGGAAGCUGAGGUUAUGAGUCAUUCAUGUAGAUGCAGGUAGAGGCUGGUCCUAGGCCCCCAGCGACACUGAUAUAAAAGAAUUUAUAAGCAUGUAUUUUAGGACAAUUUUACAAAAUAACAGAAAAUAUCCAUUGAGUCCUUAGUGUGUUUUUCACACAUUAUCUUUAACCUCACCACACCAUUUUUGAUAGGUUCAAGUAUUUUUUUUCUCUUCCCCACAUGAAAGAAGCAUGACUUGGAGAGGUUAAAAUUCCCACCCAAGAUCAUGCAUUUAAAAAGUGAGAAAACCAAUAUUCAAAUUUAGGUCUUUCUGACCCCAGAGCCUGUGAUUUUUCUGUUUCACUAAGGCCAGUUGCAGAGAUAUGCUUGUCUCAGCUGUUUUCCAGUAUGAUGUAUCUGAAGGACAAGAGGAAGAAUUUCAAAAAAGUCUCCAAUUUUCUUGCCUUAGAGCAUCUACCGAAAGAAAAAAAAAAAUGAGAGAGAACCCAAAGUCAAAGAUAAGAGCCCUGGAAGAAUCUGCUCUGAAGAAUGGCCUUGGGGCCAACUCAGUAUUUACUCAAUUCAUAAAGGAACUGAGCUGGAGUCCUCAUUAGUUGGGUGUGUCCUUGGUAAACCAAUUAUUAAACCCUGGUAUGAGGGAUGAAAUGGCUUUGUGUUUAGUUUUUGGCUUUAUCAAUUUCUGAUGACUAUCCACAAAAAUUAUAAAUACAUAAACAUUUUUCUACAGCGAUUCUUCUUUCAGAAAAGUAACCUACAGAUAUACUUGUAUAUGUACUAAAGGAUGAAUGUACAAGGUUGUUCCUUGGAGCGUUUUGUAGUAAAAAAUAGGAAACAACCCAAGUUUUUAUCAAUAGAGAACUGAUUCAAUAAAUUAUAGAACAUCCAUACAAGAGAAUACUAUAAACUAUAAAGAAGAAUGAGAAAGCUUCCUAUAAAAUGAUACAGAAAGAGCUCUAGGAUAUAUAGUUAAUUGAAAAAAGGAAGGUAUUAAACAUUGUUUAUAACAUGGUAACUUUUGUGUAAAAGAAGUAAGAAGAAAAGAAGCUCAUGCUUCCUGAUAGAACAUAAAGAGACUAUGGAAGAAACUAAGAAUAGUGGUUACCAUGGCGCUGGAAAGAAAGAGCAUGGCAGAUGAGGGACAAGGAUGGUAUGGAGUGUUUUACCCGUUUUGGAUUUUCAAACAUGCAAAUAGUAUUCAAGGAAUAAAUCAAAAGAUGAAAAUGACAAGUCCUAUGCUAAAAGAUACAUUCUCUGAGAACAUAUUCACAAUAGGGCUGUGCUUUUUUUCUCUGAUGAAGAACACCAGACUCUUAAGCCAAUGGCCAGGGUCGAAAUGCUUACUUUGCCACUUCCUAACGGUGUUAAAUUUUCUGAGUCUCAGUUUUCUCAUUUUAAAUAAAAAAGAAGAAAUAACAUC
RNAcentral lists this long non-coding RNA (18588 nucleotides) under Homo sapiens (human). Its description in RNAcentral is "HSALNT0089652". Lineage: Eukaryota; Metazoa; Chordata; Mammalia; Primates; Hominidae. The record is from RNAcentral.